RNAcentral lists this ribosomal RNA (493 nucleotides) under Bacillus cereus. RNAcentral describes it as "bacterial SSU rRNA". It matches the Rfam family "Bacterial small subunit ribosomal RNA", at positions 191 to 670 of the family's 1533-position model. Lineage: Bacteria; Bacillati; Bacillota; Bacilli; Caryophanales; Bacillaceae. The record is from RNAcentral.
GGUUCGAAAUUGAAAGGCGGCUUCGGCUGUCACUUAUGGAUGGACCCGCGUCGCAUUAGCUAGUUGGUGAGGUAACGGCUCACCAAGGCAACGAUGCGUAGCCGACCUGAGAGGGUGAUCGGCCACACUGGGACUGAGACACGGCCCAGACUCCUACGGGAGGCAGCAGUAGGGAAUCUUCCGCAAUGGACGAAAGUCUGACGGAGCAACGCCGCGUGAGUGAUGAAGGCUUUCGGGUCGUAAAACUCUGUUGUUAGGGAAGAACAAGUGCUAGUUGAAUAAGCUGGCACCUUGACGGUACCUAACCAGAAAGCCACGGCUAACUACGUGCCAGCAGCCGCGGUAAUACGUAGGUGGCAAGCGUUAUCCGGAAUUAUUGGGCGUAAAGCGCGCGCAGGUGGUUUCUUAAGUCUGAUGUGAAAGCCCACGGCUCAACCGUGGAGGGUCAUUGGAAACUGGGAGACUUGAGUGCAGAAGAGGAAAGUGGAAUUCC